UACAGAGGCCUCGAGCGUUAGGCGGAAUCACUGGGCUUAAAGCGUGUGUAGGCGGAUGUCUAAGUGCCUUGUGAAAUCCCACGGCUUACCCGUGGAACGGCUGGGCAUACUGGAUGUCUUGAGCCACUUAGGGGCUACCGGAACAAAUGGUGGAGCGGUGAAAUGCGUAGAUAUCAUUUGGAACGCCAAUGGUGAAAACAGGUAGCUGGGAGUGUGCUGACGCUGAGACACGAAAGCCAGGGUAGCGAACGGG
RNAcentral lists this ribosomal RNA (253 nucleotides) under uncultured bacterium. RNAcentral's name for it is "partial 16S ribosomal RNA". It matches the Rfam family "Bacterial small subunit ribosomal RNA", at positions 524 to 776 of the family's 1533-position model. The record is from RNAcentral.